This 245-nucleotide ribosomal RNA is filed under the name uncultured Alkaliphilus sp. Its description in RNAcentral is "partial 16S ribosomal RNA". It matches the Rfam family "Bacterial small subunit ribosomal RNA", at positions 796 to 1041 of the family's 1533-position model. Lineage: Bacteria; Bacillati; Bacillota; Clostridia; Peptostreptococcales; Natronincolaceae. The record is from RNAcentral.
CACGCCGUAAACGAUGAGUGCUAGGUGUUGGGGGUCAAACCUCAGUGCCGCAGUUAACGCAUUAAGCACUCCGCCUGGGGAGUACGUUCGCAAGAAUGAAACUCAAAGGAAUUGACGGGGACCCGCACAAGCAGCGGAGCAUGUGGUUUAAUUCGAAGCAACGCGAAGAACCUUACCUGGACUUGACAUCCCUUGGCCCGCUUCUUAACCGAAGCUUUCCCUUCGGGGACUGAGGAGACAGGUGG